GUGAAUCAUCGAAUCUUUGAACGCAAAUUGCACUCUCCGGUUUUCCGGGAGAGUAUGCCUGUUUGAGGGCCAGCAUAAAAAAAACCGACAUCGUUGCUGUUUCGCGGUGGCGUUCGUCGGAAAUUGGGUCAUCUUAAAUUCUUUAGAUUUAAGCGACUUAAAAUUUUCUUUUGGUUCAAUGAACGUUUCUAAGAUCUAUUUCUUUACACGUUUAAGGUAUCGAUUUUUACUAGACGUGACCAUCAUAUCGGAUCGGGUGUUUAAUUUUUUAUU
Molecule: unclassified non-coding RNA, 273 nt
Filed under: Glomus sp.
Lineage: Eukaryota; Fungi; Glomeromycota; Glomeromycetes; Glomerales; Glomeraceae
Description: partial contains 5.8S ribosomal RNA and internal transcribed spacer 2
Rfam family: 5.8S ribosomal RNA (bases 1-72)
Source: RNAcentral